UUAUAUAAAAUUUCAUUACCAGUGCACCAUAAUUGUACAAAUAAACUGGUUUUGUGCAUUUAAUUACAUUUAUUUUUUAAUUAUCAA
Molecule: long non-coding RNA, 87 nt
Organism: Sinocyclocheilus anshuiensis
Lineage: Eukaryota; Metazoa; Chordata; Actinopteri; Cypriniformes; Cyprinidae
Exons: 4
Source: RefSeq, a predicted model, not a curated record